UACGGAGGAUCCAAGCGUUAUCCGGAUUUAUUGGGUUUAAAGGGUGCGUAGGCGGAUUAUUAAGUCAGUGGUGAAAGCCUGCAGCUUAGCUGCAGAACUGCCAUUGAUACUGAUAAUCUUGAGUACAGUUGAGGUGGGCGGAAUGUGUCAUGUAGCGGUGAAAUGCUUAGAUAUGACACAGAACACCGAUUGCGAAGGCAGCUCGCUAAACUGUAACUGACGCUGAGGCACGAAAGCGUGGGGAUCAAACAGG
RNAcentral lists this ribosomal RNA (253 nucleotides) under uncultured bacterium. Its description in RNAcentral is "partial 16S ribosomal RNA". It matches the Rfam family "Bacterial small subunit ribosomal RNA", at positions 524 to 776 of the family's 1533-position model. The record is from RNAcentral.